Molecule: ribosomal RNA, 497 nt
Filed under: uncultured bacterium
Lineage: Bacteria
Description: partial 16S ribosomal RNA
Rfam family: Bacterial small subunit ribosomal RNA
Source: RNAcentral
GAUGAACGCUGGCGGCGUGCCUAAUACAUGCAAGUCGAGCGAACGAACGGUAAGCUUGCCUCUCUGAAGUUGGCGGCGGGCGGGUGAGGACCACGUGGAUAACCUAUCUAUAAGGCUAGGAUACCUGCAGGAAAGCGGAGAUAACAGCGGAUAAUACGGUGAAACGUAUGGAUCAUAGGUGAAACACGGUCUUGCUGAGACUAGUAGGCGUAUGCUCGCUGCAUUAGCUAGUUGGUAAGGUAACGGCCUACCGAGGCAACGAUGCAUAGCUGACCUGAGAGGCUGAUCGGCCACACUGGAACUGAGACACGGUCCAGACUCCUACGGGAGGCAGCAGUGGGGAAUCUUGCACAAUGGGCGAAAGCCUGACGGAGCAACGCCGCGUGGGUGAUGAAGGUCUUCGGAUCGUAAAACUCUGUUAUUCGGGAGGAAGAGAAGUAUAUGUAACUCUGCACGUCUUGACGGUACCUAAACAGAAAGCCCCGGCUAACUACGUG